UUUGGACAGCCAUUCGAUCACUGGUCACCCUAGGCCUAUCUUUCUCUUCGGCUUUUUCCAUAAGUGCACCUUCAGCCGGGUCGGUCAAUGGAUAUCGGGUCGCUGGAACGUCGUGCUCCGUGGGACAUGAGUCAAGGGUGGUCGCUGCCGAUCAGGAGGUCACAUCAUCACCUGUAGGAUCGCUAAGGCUAGGCUCCUUAUCUCCUUCCUCUCUCCCAAAGGUGUCUCCAGGGAGUUGUGAUGUCUCUCACAUGGCACAAGAGGCCGUCGAGGCCGAGGCCGAGCUGCUUUGCACGCAGCUUGCUGAAGCUGACGGUGGUGUCUUUCUAGCUUUGGGGGCUGAGCUUGAGAAGAUGUGCCACCGCCUAAGAUAGAUUCUAGACUACGUCAAGGUUCGUGACACCUCUCUGAUCGAGAGUCUGGACAAUGCCUCAUACCGUAUCCGGACAAUACCGUCUUUGGCGUCCAUAGGGGAGCCACGGGGGCACUGCUCAUGGGGGAGAUCUACUUCGGCUACCACCUUCGUGACAUCGUUGGUUCUCCUUCAUCCCUUUUGGACGAAGGGUUGGAGGACAUGCUGGAAGGUUAUGACAAGGUGGCCAGUCAUGUCGUGUUUUGGGUGUCAGCUCAUGACAUCGUGCGUGAUGCGCGUUGAGCACAAUGUACAGUGCCUCGGCACUUCCUUACUAAAAUAAGAAUAGAG
Molecule: unclassified non-coding RNA, 703 nt
Filed under: Zea mays
Lineage: Eukaryota; Viridiplantae; Streptophyta; Magnoliopsida; Poales; Poaceae
Description: misc RNA Zm00001eb029910
Source: RNAcentral